This 497-nucleotide ribosomal RNA is filed under the name uncultured bacterium. RNAcentral's name for it is "partial 16S ribosomal RNA". It matches the Rfam family "Bacterial small subunit ribosomal RNA", at positions 28 to 507 of the family's 1533-position model. The record is from RNAcentral.
GAUGAACGCUGGCGGCGUGCCUAAUACAUGCAAGUCGAGCGAACAGAUAAGGAGCUUGCUCCUUUGACGUUAGCGGCGGACGGGUGAGUAACACGUGGAUAACCUACCUAUAAGACUGGGAUAACUUCGGGAAACCGGAGCUAAUACCGGAUAACAUAUUGAACCGCAUGGUUCAAUAGUGAAAGGCGGCUUUGCUGUCACUUAUAGAUGGAUCCGCGCCGUAUUAGCUAGUUGGUAAGGUAACGGCUUACCAAGGCAACGAUACGUAGCCGACCUGAGAGGAGGAUCAGCCACACUGGAACUGAGACACGGUCCAGACGCCGACGGGAGGCAGCAGUGGGGAAUAUUGGACAAUGGGCGAAAGCCUGAUACAGCAAGACCGAGUGGGUGAAGAAGGCCUUCGGGUUGUAAAGCCCUUUUGUUGGGAAAGAAAAGCAGCAGGUUAAUACCCCGCUGUUCUGACGGUACCCAAAGAAUAAGCACCGGCUAACUUCGUG